AUGCAAGUCGAGCGAGGGCUCUUCUCCCGCAAGGGAGGGGAGUUCCUAGCGGCGAACGGGUGAGUAACACGUGGGCAACCUUUCCUAUCGCGGGGGAUAACAGCGGGAAACCGCUGCUAAUACCGCAUGUCGUCAUCGGUCGCAUGGCCGGUGAAAAAAGCAGCAAUGCACGAUGGGGUGGGCCCGCGGCCUAUCAGCUAGUCGGUGGGGUAACGGCCUACCGAGGCGAUGACGGGUAGCUGGUCUGAGAGGACGACCAGCCACACGGGGACUGAGACACGGCCCCGACUCCUACGGGAGGCAGCAGUGAGGAAUCUUCCGCAAUGGGCGAAAGCCUGACGGAGCGACACCGCGUGUGGGAUGAAGUCCUUCGGGAUGUAAACCACUGUUGGAGGGGAAGAUAGUGACGGUACCCUCCGAGAAAGCCCCGGCUAACUACGUGCCAGCAGCCGCGGUAAUACGUAGGGGGCUAGCGUUAUCCACAUUUACUGCGCGUGAAGCGCGUGUAGGCGGCUGGUUAAGCGUGAUGUGAAAUCCUCGGGC
This 543-nucleotide ribosomal RNA is filed under the name uncultured bacterium. RNAcentral's name for it is "bacterial SSU rRNA". It matches the Rfam family "Bacterial small subunit ribosomal RNA", at positions 55 to 608 of the family's 1533-position model. The record is from RNAcentral.